Molecule: ribosomal RNA, 317 nt
Filed under: uncultured eukaryote
Lineage: Eukaryota
Description: partial 18S ribosomal RNA
Rfam family: Eukaryotic small subunit ribosomal RNA
Source: RNAcentral
CCCUUAGAUGUUCUGGGCCGCACGCGCGCUACACUGAUCAGUGCAACAAGCAUCCGUCCUUGGCCGACAGGCCCGGGCAAUCUUUGAACGCUGAUCGUGAUGGGGAUAGACUUUUGCAAUUUUUGGUCUUCAACGAGGAAUUCCUAGUAAACGCAAGUCAUCAACUUGCAUUGAUUACGUCCCUGCCCUUUGUACACACCGCCCGUCGCACCUACCGAUUGAAUGGUCCGGUGAAACCUCCGGAUUGGCGCGUGCCCUCGGGCGCCGCCGAGAAGUUGGUUAAACCUUACCAUUUAGAGGAAGGUGAAGUCGUAACA